GUAACAAGGUCUCCGUUGGUGAACCAGCGGAGGGAUCAUUAUAGAGUUUUCUAAACUCCCAACCCAUGUGAACUUACCUUUUGUUGCCUCGGCAGAAGUUAUAGGUCUUCUUAUAGCUGCUGCCGGUGGACCAUUAAACUCUUGUUAUUUUAUGUAAUCUGAGCGUCUUAUUUUAAUAAGUCAAAACUUUCAACAACGGAUCUCUUGGUUCUGGCAUCGAUGAAGAACGCAGCGAAAUGCGAUAAGUAAUGUGAAUUGCAGAAUUCAGUGAAUCAUCGAAUCUUUGAACGCACAUUGCGCCCAUUAGUAUUCUAGUGGGCAUGCCUGUUCGAGCGUCAUUUCAACCCUUAAGCCUAGCUUAGUGUUGGGAAUCUACUUCUUUAUAGUUGUAGUUCCUGAAAUACAACGGCGGAUUUGUAGUAUCCUCUGAGCGUAGUAAUUUUUUUCUCGCUUUUGUUAGGUGCUAUAACUCCCAGCCGCUAAACCCCCAAUUUUUUGUGGUUGACCUCGGAUCAGGUAGGAAUACCCGCUGAACUUAAGCAUAUCAAUA
RNAcentral lists this ribosomal RNA (550 nucleotides) under Pestalotiopsis sp. 1 AE-2013. RNAcentral's name for it is "eukaryotic LSU rRNA". The stretch from base 185 to 338 matches the Rfam family "5.8S ribosomal RNA". The record is from RNAcentral. Lineage: Eukaryota; Fungi; Ascomycota; Sordariomycetes; Amphisphaeriales; Sporocadaceae.